UGCUGCCUACGGGGGGCAGCAGUAGGGAAUUUUCCUCAAUGGGCGCAAGCCUGAACGAGCAAUGCCGCGUGAACGAGGAAGGUCUUCGGAUCGUAAAGUUCUGUUGAAGGGGAAAAAGAGCGGAGAGAGGAAAUGAACUCCGAUUGAUAUUACCCUUCGAGGAAGUCACGGCUAACUACGUGCCAGCAGCCGCGGUAAUACGUAGGUGGCGAGCGUUAUCCGGAAUGAUUGGGCGUAAAGGAUGCGUAGGCGGCCUGCUAAGUCUGGAGUGAAAGGUACCGGCUCAACCGGUACAGGCCCUGGAA
Molecule: ribosomal RNA, 305 nt
Filed under: uncultured bacterium
Lineage: Bacteria
Description: bacterial SSU rRNA
Rfam family: Bacterial small subunit ribosomal RNA
Source: RNAcentral